RNAcentral lists this ribosomal RNA (1350 nucleotides) under uncultured bacterium. RNAcentral describes it as "bacterial SSU rRNA". It matches the Rfam family "Bacterial small subunit ribosomal RNA", at positions 23 to 1369 of the family's 1533-position model. The record is from RNAcentral.
CUCAGGAUGAACGCUGGCGGCGUGCUUAACACAUUCUAGUCGAACGGGCGACGGGGAGCUUGCUCCCCCGAGCUAGUGGCGGACGGGUGAGUAACGCGUGAGUAACCUGCCUUUCUCUGGGGAAUAACAUCGCGAAAGUGGUGCUAAUACCGCAUAACGUAUUCGGAUCGCAUGUUCUGAGUACCAAAGGAUUUAUUUGGAGAAAGAUGGGCUCGCGUCUGAUUAGGUAGUUGGUGGGGUAAAGGCCUACCAAGCCGACGAUCAGUAGCCGGACUGAGAGGAAGGUCCCCCACACUGGAACUGAGACACGGUCCAGACUCCUACGGGAGGCAGCAGUGAGGAAUAUUGGACAAUGGAUGGAAAUCUGAUCCAGCCAUGCCGCGUGCAGGAAUACGGUCCUAUGGAUUUUAAACUGCUUUCGUAUGGGAGCAAUAAGUGCUACGCGUAGCGCGAUGAGAGUACCAUACGAAUAAGCAUCGGCUAACUCCGUGCCAGCAGCCGCGGUAAUACGGAGGAUGCAAGCGUUAUCCGGAUUUAUUGGGUUUAAAGGGUGCGUAGGCGGUUACUGUAAGUCAGUGGUGAAAUUUUAGUGCUUAACAUUAAAAGUGCCAUAGAUACUGCAGAGCUAGAAUGAGGAUGCUGUAUGCGGAAUGUGUAGUGUAGCGGUGAAAUGCAUAGAUAUUACACAGAACACCGAUUGCGAAGGCAGCAUACAAAACCUUGAUUGACGCUGAUGCACGAAAGUGUGGGGAUCAAACAGGAUUAGAUACCCUGGUAGUCCACACAGUAAACGAUGAUAACUAGCUGUUGGCGAUACACAGUCAGUGGCUAAGCGAAAGCGAUAAGUUAUCCACCUGGGGAGUACGACCGCAAGGUUGAAACUCAAAGGAAUUGACGGGGGCCCGCACAAGCGGAGGAACAUGUGGUUUAAUUCGAAGCGACGCGAAGAACCUUACCUGGUCUUGACAUCCGGAUGACCGGUCAGUAAUGUGACCUUCUCUUCGGAGCAUCCGAGACAGGUGGUGCAUGGUUGUCGUCAGCUCGUGUCGUGAGAUGUUGGGUUAAGUCCCGCAACGAGCGCAACCCCUAUCUUUAGUAGCCAGCAUUUAGGAUGGGCACUCUGGAGAGACUGCCAGGGAUAACCUGGAGGAAGGUGGGGAUGACGUCAAAUCAUCAUGCCCCUUAUGAUUUGGGCUACACACGUGCUACAAUGGCGUAAACAAAGGGAAGCGAGACCGCGAGGUGGAGCAAAUCCCAAAAAUAACGUCUCAGUUCGGAUUGUAGUCUGCAACUCGACUACAUGAAGCUGGAAUCACUAGUAAUCGCGAAUCAGAAUGUCGCGGUGAAUAC